RNAcentral lists this ribosomal RNA (400 nucleotides) under uncultured bacterium. RNAcentral describes it as "bacterial SSU rRNA". It matches the Rfam family "Bacterial small subunit ribosomal RNA", at positions 355 to 772 of the family's 1533-position model. The record is from RNAcentral.
UGGGGAAUAUUGCACAAUGGGGGAAACCCUGAUGCAGCAACGCCGCGUGGAGGAUGACGCAUUUCGGUGUGUAAACUCCUUUUAUAAGGGAAGAUAAUGACGGUACCUUAUGAAUAAGCACCGGCUAACUCCGUGCCAGCAGCCGCGGUAAUACGGAGGGUGCAAGCGUUACUCGGAAUCACUGGGCGUAAAGGAUGCGUAGGCGGCCGAUCAAGUCGGGAGUGAAAGCCCAGGGCUUAACCCUGGAACUGCUCUCGAAACUGGUCGGCUUGAGUCCGGCAGAGGAUGGCGGAAUUCCCCGUGUAGAGGUGAAAUUCGUAGAUAUGGGGAGGAACACCAGAGGCGAAGGCGGCCAUCUGGACCGGUACUGACGCUAAGGCACGAAAGCGUGGGGAGCAAA